RNAcentral lists this transfer RNA (57 nucleotides) under Bos taurus (domestic cattle). It matches the Rfam family "tRNA", at positions 8 to 63 of the family's 71-position model. From Rfam's summary of the family: Transfer RNA (tRNA) molecules are approximately 80 nucleotides in length. Their secondary structure includes four short double-helical elements and three loops (D, anti-codon, and T loops). The record is from Rfam by way of RNAcentral. RNAcentral also lists the same sequence under 5 other names. Lineage: Eukaryota; Metazoa; Chordata; Mammalia; Artiodactyla; Bovidae.
UGUCUCAGACGGUAAAGAAUCUGCCUGCAAUGCAGGAGACCCAGGUUUGAUCCCUGG